Molecule: long non-coding RNA, 575 nt
Filed under: Carassius auratus (goldfish)
Lineage: Eukaryota; Metazoa; Chordata; Actinopteri; Cypriniformes; Cyprinidae
Description: lncRNA (ENSCARG00000024717.1)
Source: RNAcentral
UUAGCAGGUUUAGAUCUGGUUAUUACUUGGAUGAGAGACCGCCAAGGAAUAUCAGGUGCUUUAAGCUUUUGGAAUUUUUUCACUUAGUAUAUAAUAAAUUUGGCAAAAAAUAGAAGUCAAAUGCCCGAUCUCUGAAUAUAAGCAGGUUUGGCCAGGUUUAGUACAUGGGAUGGGAGACUGCCUGGAAUACCAGGUGCUUUAAAUUUUGGAUAUUUUUCCGAAUUAUAUAAUUAAUCUUGCAAAAAAAAAAAAAAAAAAAGAAGAAGUCAAUGCCCAAUCUCUGAAUCUUAGCAGGUUAAGGUCUGAUUAGUACUUGAAUGAUAGACCGCCAAGGCAAUACCAGGUGCUUUAAGCUUUUUGAAAUUUUCAUUAGUAUAUAAUAAUUUUGCCAAAAAAAAAAAAAGAGUCAAUGCCCGAUCUCUGAAUUUUAGCAGGUUUAGGUCUAGUUAGUACUUGGAUGAGAGACCGCCAAGGAAUACCAGGUGCUUUAAGCUUUUGGAAUUUUUUUUCACUUAGUAUAUAAUAAAUUUGGCAAAAAAUAGAGUCAAUGCCCGAUCUCUGAAUAUAAGCAGGUU